Molecule: long non-coding RNA, 1359 nt
Organism: Zingiber officinale
Lineage: Eukaryota; Viridiplantae; Streptophyta; Magnoliopsida; Zingiberales; Zingiberaceae
Exons: 4
Source: RefSeq, a predicted model, not a curated record
GCCCAAACUUUACUGAGCGCCUUCGUCUCCAUCGCCAAACGAUUCCUCUUCCCCUCUUCAUCGCCAAAAUAUUCACUGCCUUCGUCUUCACGGGAGCCUAGAACGCUCAUGAGGUGGGCUGCUCGCGAGGCAGGCUUCUUGCAGCGGCCGUUCGCUGCUCAACCUGGAGUAGCGAUAGGGGGAGGAAGAGAAGCGUAUCCUGGCCACGGUGACCUUCCGAUCCAGCAUGGGCCCUUCCAUCGUAGUUUGUUACAGGCUCACAGUUGGGAACACUGAAAUCACUCAUCGACGAGGAUAAAGGAAGGGGGAAGGACAGGGGUGAUGGCCCUGACGGUGGCGGGCAACUUCGUGCUAUUGUUCUUCUUGAUGCCACUUCUGGCAUCGAUUCCGGCUUGGGCGAUGGGGUCGCCGCUGGUGUUGGGGGUGUGCUGAUGAUGAAGAUGGUAGUGGAGGUGGAAUGGGAGAACAUGAGGGAAGCCAUCUCCGCCUUCAUCACCAUCAUUUUGAUGUCGCUCACCUACUCAAUUACGUACGACAUCAUCAGUGGCAUUGCCACCUACAUCGUCCUCUGCCUUUGCGAAUACAUCUGCUCUGUUCUCAUCAAGAGCUUCCAUCUUCUCCGCAAUAACUCUGCUUUAUUACCUUGUUUGAUCAAUGUGGAUGGUUGAGACUAAAGAUGAUUAUCUUUUGUCCAUUCAACAUGUUCAUCAUGGGAAAAAUACUUUGGAAGAAAGACAUGGCCCUCCGGUUUUCCUCUAACAUAGUCUUUUCAGAUAGUGGUUUUGAUGUUCGGGUUGGUAAUGUACACAGUACAAGAUGGAGCCAUGGUCAUACUAGUUUAUCGGUUCAUGAGAAGGCAUAUUGGUAUUAGAGUUGGCAAUAAUCGGCACAGAACGACUAGCAACCUAUGAUAAGUUAUAGAUUUUCUAAACUAGUAGCCCUUUAUUGAUGUUUAUAGUUAUUAAAUUUAGAAUCUUAUUCAUGGUUUUACACUUUUCAUGCCAUGUGUUGAAGCCAAAGAGGGGUUGAAAUAAAUUUACAAAAGCUUAAGAAGUUACACCAGCAGGACUUUAUAUCAAUCUAUUAGGUAUACAAUUAUGGUUUCUAAUUUGUAAUAUAUAUAUUUAUUUGAGCAGGAGUCCUCAAUGGUACUGGGAAGAAUGUCGGAAAACUGAAAAAAUGGAGACUUUAGCAGGUUAAGGAAUAAUGAGAGCUACAGUGUCGCCUCUUCAUCGACAUCUAAGUAGAAAAUCUCAUGUUGUUGUAUUGGUCUACCUUUGUUUUAUUAGUGUCGGUACUUGUCAUUAUGUUAGUUUCUUAUAAAAUUUCUUUAGAAUGUUGUAAAUAUUAUUUUUGAAU